CUUCAACAUUUCAGUUUGUUGCAAAGUCAACAUUUUUAAUUUUUGUUAAAAAUGUAUUAUGUUGAGAUUUCUUUAAAUCUGUUAUUUAAAUUUUAAUUCAUAAACCAAAAAUAAAUUUCUAGAUUUUCAGUUUUGUUUAACAGUGAUGGCAACAUUGAUAUUUUUAAAGAAUAAAAUAAAUAAUCAAAAUAAGUAAAAAAACAAAAUAAAAACGUAUAAACUUAUAUUUAAUAUUUUAUUUUUCAUUCUUAAACUAUUAUUAAAUUUAUAAUUUUAUUUCAUUUUUUCCCCUUUAUUUUUCUCUUUCUUUAUGAUGGCUGUGUAAAGCACUUGGACUCACCAGUGAGCAUGAAAUGUGCUGUAUAAAUAACUUGCCUUCAUCACACUGGGCUGGAUAAUUGUUCCUGUGGAAACCCUGCAGAAGCUCACAGUCCUGUGGAGAGGAUCUUACUGAAUACUGAAGAUACAUCUGAAUAUCAUCUGUGUGCAGUGUCAUCUGACAGAUGAUGCAGAUCAAUAAAGUACCGUGUACCUGUCUGUCUGUAUCUGAGUUACCCAGAGGACAACAUGUCAGCCUGUCUGUCUGUGAACUAACGUACGUGUGUGUGUGUGUGUGUGUGUGUGUGUGUGUGUGUGUGUGUGUGUGUGUGUGUUCAGGGAUGAGGGAACUGUGUCCUCCUCAGCUGAAUCUGAAGCGUCUGUAUGGAGAGACGCUGGAGUCUGAGCCCGUCAUACUGAUCAUCUCUGCCGGCGCGGAUCUAUCUCAGGAGCUCCGGGAACUCGCCAGUCAGAUCGUGGUGCGAGAAAUCUUCCAUGAGGUGGUGAUGGCUGUCCUUGAAGAACCUGCACCUGGUCACAGCGUGGCUCCCCCUGCUGGAGAAGGAGCUCAACAGUAUGAAACCCAAAGCCAGCUUCAGAUUCUGGUUGACUGCUGAGGUUCAUGUGAAGUUCACUCCUGUACUGCUCCAGUCCAGCCUGAAGGUCACCUAUGAGGUCAGUGUGUGUCAAAUAUAAUGUAUUCUCUUUUUAAUGAACCAAUUUUGAUUUUUACAUUUUUAAUCUACUGUAUGCUGUUUUGGGUUUAUGCAUCAACAAAACUUGAAACAUUAUUUUUAGCAUGCUUCUUAUUCAAUAAUGAUGUUUAUUAAUAAAAUGAUUAUUUAAAAAUCA
Long non-coding RNA from Cyprinus carpio (common carp), 1170 nucleotides. NCBI's taxonomy places the organism in Eukaryota, Metazoa, Chordata, Actinopteri, Cypriniformes, Cyprinidae. The record is from Ensembl.